UCUCCGUUGGUGAACCAGCGGAGGGAUCAUUACAGGAUUCGCAAGAACUCCCGUAACCACUGUGAACCUUACCUUCUGUUGCUUCGGCGGGAUCGCCCCGGCUGCCCUGAGCGCCGGAACCAGGCCCCCGCCGCAAGACCUUAAACUCUGUUUUAUUAUAGUUGUUUACUCUGAGUAGCUUCUAAAGCAAAGAAAUAAAUCAAAACUUUCAACAACGGAUCUCUUGGUUCUGGCAUCGAUGAAGAACGCAGC
This 252-nucleotide unclassified non-coding RNA is filed under the name uncultured fungus. Its description in RNAcentral is "sequence contains ITS1, 5.8S rRNA gene". The stretch from base 204 to 252 matches the Rfam family "5.8S ribosomal RNA", at positions 1 to 49 of the family's 154-position model. The record is from RNAcentral. Lineage: Eukaryota; Fungi.